CAAACACUAAGUUGUGAAUCCACCUUGGAUGUGAGGAUCAAUAUGGAUCUAUGAACUUAAAAAAAAAAGGGAGAGAGAUGUGGAGUUAAAACAACAACAAAAACAUCACUCUUCAGUGGCUGCCACAACUCCUGCUUCUGCUUUCCCAUUCGCUGCCAAGGACAGGCAACCUCAGCGAUGUACCGAGUGAGACGCUGGGCAGGCGUGAAAGCAGGUGAGGUGUGUUCUUCAGCUCCUUGAAACCAGGCAGACCUUUUGAUAUGCUGAGACCAGUAGCAUGUGGUGGAAGGGCCAUGUGGAGAAGAGUCAGGUGCCUCAAACAACAGACAGCACAGACUGCCAGAGGAGCGAGUGAAGCCAGCCCGGACGCUCUACUUACUGCAAGCCAUCAGGUCACUGCAGCUGCAUGUGUGAACCCAAGUUAGACCAGCAGGACUGCCUGGAUUGCCAGUGCGUAAAAUUAUGCAAAAGAACCAAUGAUUGCUGUUUUAUGCCACGAUUUUGGAGGACCUUGUAACAAGAACAAUAAAUAACUGACACAGGUGUUCAAGGCUGCAGUGAGCUAUAACUGCACCACCGCAGUCCAACCUGGGUGACAGAGCAAGGGAGCCUGUCUCAAAAAAAUAAAAUAAAUUACUGACAUAUGCUUAUUAUUUUUAAAAUAAUUUUCUUUUGACUUAAUUCUUCAGUUCAGCUUGCUUAUAUGGAUAAUAUCAAAAUGAAUCACUUUAAUUUUCUACUAUGGAUUAUAGUUAAGAGCUUGUCAAAAAUAGACCAGAUACCUCUACAACAGCAGCAUUUAUUCAGGUCAUGGUACCUGCAUGGGCAACUGAGAUCCAUCGUCUGGUCCCAGGUUUUGUAUGUCAGGUUACAGGACGGAUUCACAACAUUCAAUCUCACAAAACAUUAACGUUCUAUUUAGAAUGGUCCAUUUCUUAAAAAUUAAAGUAAUGCUGCAACGUAGGCAAGAUUUUUCAUCUCUUCAGCAGAAAACCCUGACCUAUGUUGGUAACCUAAAUGAAAAGUGAAAAUAUUUCGAGAUAUAAAUGAUAAUUUGGAUGCUAUUAUACUAUCACAGGAUCCUGAUGCCCCUUAUCAGUGAUAAACAAUGGAACCUGAUAGUGCAUCCCAGCAGAUAGGACCUCUUCCACACUGCACAGUGUUAGAGAUGCAACGAGAGGCUCCAGGCCAGGUGCAGUGGCUCAAACCUGUAAUCUCAGCAGUUUGGGAGGCUGAGGUGGGUGGAUUGCUUUAGGCCAGGAGCUUGAGAUGGGCGUGGCCAACAUAGUGAAACCCCGUCUCUACUAAAAAUACAAAACUUGGCCCAGUGUAGUGGCACGCGCCUGUAGUCCCAGUGACUCAGGAAGCUGAGGCACAAGAAUCGCUUGAACCCAGGAGGCAGAAUCUAUAGUGAGCCGUGAUCAUGCCACUGCACUCCAGCCUGGGCAACAGAAUGAGACUCCAUUUCAAAAAAAAAAAAAAAAAUAGACUCUAGUGCUGGUAUUCUAAUUUCUAAGACUCCAUAUGGAAAUAUGGAAAUACCUGUUGAGAGACACCAGCAUUAUAUCACGCUGACAUCAUUGCAUUGUGAUCCGUUUUUCCUGGCUCUGCACUCUUGAUGGAGACUUGAGAAAACUCGCUGGCAGCACAUUUCUCAACAUUCAUAUUUUUGCUUAGGUUAGUACUUUACCAAUCUUAUCCCCAAAUUGUGGCAGAUCACUCUGUCCCUACUAUGUCUCCAGGAAAGCAGCAGAAAUCUCUCAGCCAUUUUUAUAUCUUUGGCACAUCUUCAAAGUUGAUAUAAUUAUUUGCAUUCUUUCUGAUUACGUGAAAACCGAGGCCUUAUUUGUUAUAUUAAGAGUUCAAGUUCCUUAAUAGUAAUACUUUGGCUCAUUGUUUUCUUAUGAAAAUAUAGCUAUAACAUCAUUUUAAAAGAGAUGGGACUUAGAAAGAUUCCGCUCUACUGAUUUUACAGCUGUUUGGUGCAAUACAUAAUUACUGGGUAGCUUUACUCCAGUGGGAAAAUGAUGCUCCAGAUACUGCAUUAAGCAUUUUUCCUCACAAUGAAUGCCUAGUUUACUUUUGCACAUUCUCAAAUUUAUAUACUUCUCCCUCUUCUAUUCCCAUCAAUAAGGCCUUUCCAGCAACUCUCCUCCUACUCCCUUUACCAAAACAAACACAAAUAAAUAAAAUAAUCAGUCAAAAGGAGGCAGGCAUGAGGGUACUUUGUCAGUAUUGUUAUCACCUGGAGUAUUAGUAAACUGCCUCAGUGGUGUGCGAGAUUUCUUUCAAACCUUUGUAUUUUUAAGUGGGACAUGUAAUUAUAUCACGAAAAUGAGAACGGAAACAAAAUUAAAGUUUUAUGCUAUCAUUAUUAAUCAUUCUAGUCAUAAUAUUUAAUUUUCUGUCCCCUAUGACAUGUAUAAUAACUAAGGAAAUAUGCCCCAUUUAAAGGAUUGAAGCCAGUAUCCUCCAUCAUUUGAGGGGAAUUUCCAGCCAAAAUGUUUGAUUGGCACUCAUGAGGACAGGUGCGACCCUGCACCUGGGUCACUAGUUAAUUCCUCUGGAUACUUGUUUGGGUCAAAAUGAGCUCAAGUGAGUAACAGGCACAAAGCCUUCGCUUUCUGUCUCGACCCAACAAGGACCUGUACAGAAGAUGAGUUUUCUCAUCAGCCCAUUCCCAAGUAUCCCACAUAUUCAAUGAGCCAGCAGGUCAUCUCCUGUUCAGCAGUUGAAAAUCACCUCCGAUUCAGCUGACACACAGGAAGUCCAUCAAUGUCCAUUAGCCCAGAACAAGCGUGUCGGUCACAGCAGCUGUCAGUCUAGGCCAAAGAGGUCCUGUCAGGGCCAUUGUUAUUUUUGUCCUGAAGUUAGGUAUGAAAGUUAUGGUCAUGGCAGGUUUUAAUUAUUUGUGUCAACAAAGACAAUGGACAGUCACCCAAACUCAAUAACUCUGUAUUUUAAAAGCUGUAAAGAAAAGCACAUGUGAUAAGCUUAUCAAUAUUUCUGAUAUAUUAUUCAGGUACUUUGGUCCUUGUGUGUCUCUGAUUAGGUGUCGGCUUUUAGAUUAGAUGGAUUGGAUUGAUUAUGGCUUUUGAAAAUUGUUAUUUAUAUUUAGAUAUCUCUAUAUUGGACACGUAGUUGUUUGGAGAAAUGAGUCUAAUACCCAUGUUGAAAGCAGAAACGGGAUAUAACGUUUUUGUUCUGUUUCUAUGAUCUUUUUAUGAACAAGAAUGUUACGCCAACUCUAUUUUUUUGGAGAUAAAUGGGUAUAUGAAAAUAACACCUUCAGCACGUAUUGCCUAACACUCAUUUGUAAUUAUCACGUAUAAUGCCUGGUUGAUUACGGUUUUAACGUCUUUGCAUAUUGUAAGCCCCCAAUGAUGCUGUGACCUACUUGGAUGCAGAGCCUCUUUCACUGUGUCAUUAUGCCUCCAAUAAUACAACUAACAUGAAUAGUAAAGAGCAAUAAAUAGAUAGCUCCCAUCCAUUGAGCUCUUAGUUGCUCGUGGCUUAAUGCUAAACACUUCCCAUAUGUAUCUUAACCCUGAAAAUCAUUCCAUGAGGCAGCAAUUAUUUGUGUCUUUACAGACAAUGGAACAGAAGUGUAUGUAAUUACUAACUUGCUUAUGCUUAUAUUUUGCUAAAAGAAAAGGUUCUCUCCCCCUUUUAGGUGCAUUUGCAAGGCAGCUCUUCGGAACAAGGCACAGGCGUUCUAUUUUUUUAUUAUUAGUAGCAGCAGCAACUGCUGCAACAGCAGUAGCCUUAGUAGCAGUUUGCUGUUUAUAAUCUCCUUUCUCAAUUGGAUUGUUUGCAUCUUGAGGUCCUCUUGCUCAUAUUUGUAUUCUUAACAUCCAUGAGCCACCUCUCAGGUACCACUAAUACAAUGUCGAGGAAUAAAUGGGGAGAAUUGUUAUGAUCUUGAGCCUCGCUCCUAGAGGAUCACUUCUCUGUAAGAGGGAUGUGUAAUUCAGGACUCCCCAGAUGGGAAACCAGUAUGUGUGGAAAUAUUAUAAAGAGGUUUCACUGUAGCGUACGUUGUAAUAAUUUACAACAUUUGUUCAAAUGCAUAUCCUACAUGGUACAGCAAUUACACAGGUAAUAAAUCUUGUAUCUGAAAACACAGAACACAUGAUACCCAGCCUUUUCAUGCACACUUGAUUUCUCCUGAUUUAUUAAUAACUUUCUCGUGUUUAAGUGACUGUCCUUAUUACGCAUUGCUUUGUUUCUCACUGUGGCAUGACCUUAGCUCGACAGUUGCUAAAAUUCUCCCAGGAGACUUUUUAAUGCUACAUUUGCUUAGAAGACAUGUUCUGCCUUGUGGCUAAUGAUAUAGUUGCGUGGUAAGAAAGAAGGAUGAAAGCAGAAACACACAGACAGGACAUUGAGAAGCGGAUUAACAACAAAUACAAAGGAGGGAAACGAAAACCAAUUCAUUCUCUUUUUUUGCACAUAGUUUUAAGCAUAUCAUGACAUUUCGAAAGUAGGAAACAUCCCUACAAAGCUGGAUCAAACACGAUACUAACCCCAACACCACAGUUCUUCAAGUGGCAGGUGGUAAACUAUAACACACCAUUAACACUUUGUAAAAUGUUACUUAAAAUACAAAUGAUAAAGGGACCAAAGGCCCUGGCGUUCUCAGUUUAACUGACUUGUUUACCUUUAUAGUUUAGUCACAUGAUAUUGUUUUUACCAAUGAAUGUAAGUUCUCAUCUUCAUUUCACGCUCAAUCUGU
Molecule: long non-coding RNA, 4735 nt
Filed under: Homo sapiens (human)
Lineage: Eukaryota; Metazoa; Chordata; Mammalia; Primates; Hominidae
Description: HSALNT0082631
Source: RNAcentral